Molecule: ribosomal RNA, 257 nt
Filed under: uncultured Bacteroidota bacterium
Lineage: Bacteria; Pseudomonadati; Bacteroidota
Description: uncultured Bacteroidetes bacterium partial 16S ribosomal RNA
Rfam family: Bacterial small subunit ribosomal RNA
Source: RNAcentral
GUACUGAGACACGGACCAGACUCCUACGGGAGGCAGCAGUGAGGAAUAUUGGGCAAUGGAGGCAACUCUGACCCAGCCAUGCCGCGUGAAGGAUGACGGCCCUAUGGGUUGUAAACUUCUUUUAUAUGGGAAGAAACUUGUCUACGUGUAGAUAACUGACGGUACCAUACGAAUAAGGAUCGGCUAACUCCGUGCCAGCAGCCGCGGUAAUACGGAGGAUCCAAGCGUUAUCCGGAUUCAUUGGGUUUAAAGGGUCC